Molecule: long non-coding RNA, 473 nt
Organism: Ornithorhynchus anatinus (platypus)
Lineage: Eukaryota; Metazoa; Chordata; Mammalia; Monotremata; Ornithorhynchidae
Exons: 2
Source: RefSeq, a predicted model, not a curated record
GCCUCUGCCUCCACUCCAUCCUGGGGCUUUCCACCGCCCCUCCCAGAGCUCUAUAAAUCCGGGGCCGCCGGCUGACCAGAUCAACGUGUCCCGGUCUUCGGCUCCCUCCCUUGUGGCCUCUCAGCUCCGGGCCCCAGCUGUCGUACCAUCGCCAUGAGGCUCGCUUACCUUCUCCUACUGCUUGUGGCCGUGCUGUUCCAGGCUGGGGGCGGAUCAGUCGAAGCCUUUGUACAGCAUAGACCCCGGGACUGCGAGUCCAUCAACGGGGUCUGCAGACACAAAGACACAGUGAAUUGCCGAGAGAUCUUCUUGGCGGACUGUUACAGUGAUGAGCAGAAAUGCUGCAGGAAGUAGCCGUGCCGCCGUAGCUGCCAGAGGACGCCCCGGGAGUGCGGUAGGGGCCACGGUAGCCCUCGACCCCGAGACCCUCCCUCGGCCCCCGUAUCCUGCUAAAUAAAAGCAAUCAAAACGCA